RNAcentral lists this unclassified non-coding RNA (345 nucleotides) under soil metagenome. Its description in RNAcentral is "partial contains 5.8S ribosomal RNA, internal transcribed spacer 2, and large subunit ribosomal RNA". The stretch from base 1 to 120 matches the Rfam family "5.8S ribosomal RNA", at positions 35 to 154 of the family's 154-position model. The record is from RNAcentral.
GAUGAAGAACGCAGCGAACUGCGAUAAGUAAUGUGAAUUGCAGAAUUCAGUGAAUCAUCGAGUCUUUGAACGCACAUUGCGCCCCCUGGCAUUCCGGGGGGCAUGCCUGUCCGAGCGUCAUUGCUGCCCUUCAAGCCCGGCUUGUGUGUUGGGUCGUCGUCCCCCCCGGGGGACGGGCCCGAAAGGCAGCGGCGGCACCGCGUCCGGUCCUCGAGCGUAUGGGGCUUCGUCACCCGCUCCGUAGGCCCGGCCGGCGCCCGCCGGCGACCCCCCUCAAUCUUUCCAGGUUGACCUCGGAUCAGGUAGGGAUACCCGCUGAACUUAAGCAUAUCAAUAAGCGGAGGA